AGAGUUUGAUCCUGGUUCUAAGUGUUUCCUGGCGGCGUGCCUAACACAUGCAAGUCGAACGAGAACGGAUAUAAGUUUACUUAUAUUGUCAGCUAAGUGGCGCACGGGUGAGUAAUAUAUAGUUAAUCUGCCCUGAAGAAGAGAAUAAUUGUUGGAAACGACUUGUAAUGCUCUAUAUGCCUUUAUCACAUAAGUGAGCAAGGGAAAUAUUUAUAGCUUCGGGAUGAGACUGUACGGUAUCAGCUAGUUGGUGAGGUAAUGGCUCACCAAGGCUAUGACAUCUAACUGGUUUGAGAGGAUGAUCAGUCACACUGGAACUGAGACACGGUCCAGACUCCUACGGGAGGCAGCAGUGGGGAAUAUUGCACAAUGGAGGAAACUCUGAUGCAGCAACGCCGCGUGGAGGAUGACACAUUUCGGUGCGUAAACUCCUUUUAUUAGGGAAGAUAAUGACGGUAUCAUAUGAAUAAGCACCGGCUAACUCCGUGCCAGCAGCCGCGGUAAUACGGGGGGUGCAAGCGUUACUCGGAAUCACUGGGCGUAAAGAGCAUGUAGGCUGUAGAUUAAGUUGGAAGUGAAAUCCUAUGGCUCAG
RNAcentral lists this ribosomal RNA (593 nucleotides) under uncultured bacterium. RNAcentral describes it as "bacterial SSU rRNA". It matches the Rfam family "Bacterial small subunit ribosomal RNA", at positions 8 to 612 of the family's 1533-position model. The record is from RNAcentral.